RNAcentral lists this ribosomal RNA (253 nucleotides) under uncultured bacterium. RNAcentral describes it as "partial 16S ribosomal RNA". It matches the Rfam family "Bacterial small subunit ribosomal RNA", at positions 524 to 776 of the family's 1533-position model. The record is from RNAcentral.
UACGGAGGGGGCUAGCGUUGUUCGGAAUUACUGGGCGUAAAGCGUACGUAGGCGGCUUUGUAAGUUAGAGGUGAAAGCCCAGGGCUCAACCCUGGAACUGCCUUUAAGACUGCAGAGCUUGAAUCACGGAGAGGUCAGUGGAAUUCCGAGUGUAGAGGUGAAAUUCGUAGAUAUUCGGAAGAACACCAGUGGCGAAGGCGGCUGACUGGACGUGUAUUGACGCUGAGGUACGAAAGCGUGGGGAGCAAACAGG